This 664-nucleotide ribosomal RNA is filed under the name uncultured bacterium. Its description in RNAcentral is "bacterial SSU rRNA". It matches the Rfam family "Bacterial small subunit ribosomal RNA", at positions 24 to 679 of the family's 1533-position model. The record is from RNAcentral.
UCAGAUUGAACGCUGGCGGCAGGCCUAACACAUGCAAGUCGAGCGGUAACAUUUCUAGCUUGCUAGAAGAUGACGAGCGGCGGACGGGUGAGUAAUACUUGGGGAUCUGCCUGAUGGCGGGGGACAACCACUGGAAACGGUGGCUAAUACCGCAUAAUGCCUACGGGCCAAAGUGUGGGACCUUCGGGCCACAUGCCAUCAGAUGAACCCAAGCGAGAUUAGCUAGUUGGUGAGGUAACGGCUCACCAAGGUGACGAUCUCUAGCUGGUCUGAGAGGAUGAUCAGCCACACUGGGACUGAGACACGGCCCAGACUCCUACGGGAGGCAGCAGUGGGGAAUAUUGGACAAUGGGCGCAAGCCUGAUCCAGCCAUGCCGCGUGUGUGAAGAAGGCCUUCGGGUUGUAAAGCACUUUCAGUGGUGAGGAAGGCCUUGUAGUUAAUAGCUGCAAGGAUUGACGUUAGCCACAGAAGAAGCACCGGCUAACUCCGUGCCAGCAGCCGCGGUAAUACGGAGGGUGCGAGCGUUAAUCGGAAUUACUGGGCGUAAAGCGCACGUAGGCGGUUUGUUAAGCAAGAUGUGAAAGCCCAGGGCUCAACCUUGGAAUAGCAUUUUGAACUGGCAAGCUAGAGUUUUGAAGAGGGUGGUAGAAUUUCCAGUGUAGC